UAGCCCUAAAUCUUGAUGACCCCAAACACAAACAUCCGCCUGAGAACUACGAGCACAAACGCUUAAAACUCUAAGGACUUGGCGGUGCUCUAAACCCACCUAGAGGAGCCUGUUCUAUAAUCGAUAACCCACGAUUCACCCGACCACCUCUUGCCAAAACAGCCUAUAUACCGCCGUCGCCAGCCCACCUCGUGAGAGCACAACAGUGAGCCCAACAGCCCACAGCCCACUAACAAGACAGGUCGAGGUAUAGCCUAUGAGAUGGAAGAAAUGGGCUACAUUUUCUAAAAUAGAAAACCCAACGAAAAGGGGCUUGAAACCUGCCCCCAGAAGGCGG
Molecule: ribosomal RNA, 337 nt
Filed under: Ara macao (Scarlet macaw)
Lineage: Eukaryota; Metazoa; Chordata; Aves; Psittaciformes; Psittacidae
Description: partial 12S small subunit ribosomal RNA
Rfam family: Bacterial small subunit ribosomal RNA
Source: RNAcentral